This 468-nucleotide ribosomal RNA is filed under the name uncultured bacterium. Its description in RNAcentral is "partial 16S ribosomal RNA". It matches the Rfam family "Bacterial small subunit ribosomal RNA", at positions 28 to 507 of the family's 1533-position model. The record is from RNAcentral.
GACGAACGCUGGCGGCGUGCUUAACACAUGCAAGUCGAACGGAAAGGCCCUGCUUUUGUGGGGUGCUCGAGUGGCGAACGGGUGAGUAACACGUGAGUAACCUGCCCUUGACUUUGGGAUAACUUCAGGAAACUGGGGCUAAUACCGGAUAGGAGCUCCUGCUGCAUGGUGGGGGUUGGAAAGUUUCGUCGGUUGGGGAUGGACUCGCGGCUUAUCAGCUUGUUGGUGGGGUAGUGGCUUACCAAGGCAUUGACGGGUAGCCGGCCUGAGAGGGUGACCGGCCACAUUGGUACUGAGAUACGGCCCAGACUCCUACAGGAGGCAGAAGUGGGGAAAAUUGCACAAUGGGCGGAAGCCUGAUGCAGCAACGCCGCGUUCGGGAUGACGGCCUUCGGGUUGUAAACCGCUUUCGCCUGUGACGAAGCGUGAGUGACGGUAAUAGGUAAAGAAGCACCGGCUAACUACGUG